Molecule: ribosomal RNA, 443 nt
Filed under: uncultured bacterium
Lineage: Bacteria
Description: partial 16S ribosomal RNA
Rfam family: Bacterial small subunit ribosomal RNA
Source: RNAcentral
CCUACGGGAGGCAGCAGUGGGGAAUAUUGGGCAAUGGGCGCAAGCCUGACCCAGCAACGCCGCGUGAAGGAAGAAGGGUUUCGGCUCGUAAACUUCUAUCAACAGGGACGAAAGAAAUGACGGUACCUGAAUAAGAAGCUCCGGCUAACUACGUGCCAGCAGCCGCGGUAAUACGUAGGGGGCAAGCGUUAUCCGGAAUUACUGGGUGGAAAGGGCGAGUAGGCGGCAUGGUAAGCCAGAUGUGAAAGCCUUGGGCUUAACCCGAGGAUGGCAUUUGGAACUAUCAAGCUAGAGUGCAGGAGAGGAAGGUGGAAUUCCAGGUGUAGCGGUGAAAUGCGUAGAUAUUGGGAAGAACACCAGUGGCGAAGGCGGCUUUCUGGACUGAAACUGACGCUGAGGCACGAAAGCGUGGGGAGCGAACAGGAUUAGAUACCCCUGUAGUC